RNAcentral lists this ribosomal RNA (392 nucleotides) under uncultured bacterium. Its description in RNAcentral is "partial 16S ribosomal RNA". It matches the Rfam family "Bacterial small subunit ribosomal RNA", at positions 523 to 918 of the family's 1533-position model. The record is from RNAcentral.
AUACGGAAGGUCCGGGCGUUAUCCGGAUUUAUUGGGUUUAAAGGGAGCGCAGGCGGAGAUGCAAGCGUGACGUCAAAUUUCGGGGUUCAACCCCGUCUCGCGUCGCGAACUGCGUCCCUUGGUUGCGGGAAGGGGAGGCGGAACUGGUGGUGUAGGGGUGGAAUGCAUAGAUAUCACGAAGAACUCCUCUCGCGAAGGCAGCCUUCCGGCCCGUCAACGACGCUCAAGCACGAAGGCGUGGGGAUCAAACAGGAUUAGAUACCCUGGUAGUCCACGCAGUAAACGAUGAUUACUGGCUGUUUGCGAUAUAAUGUAAGCGGCUGAGCGAAAGCGUUAAGUAAUCCACCUGGGGAGUACGUUCGCAAGAAUGAAACUCAAAUGAAUUGACGGGG